UAGGGAAUCUUCCACAAUGGACGCAAGUCUGAUGGAGCAACGGCCGCGUGAGUGAAGAAGGUUUUCGGACCGUAAAGCUCUGUUGUUGGUGAAGAAGGAUAGAGGUAGUAACUGGCCUUUAUUUGACGGUAAUCAACCAGAAAGUCACGGCUAACUACGUGCCAGCAGCCGCGGUAAUACGUAGGUGGCAAGCGUUGUCCGGAUUUAUUGGGCGUAAAGCGAGCGCAGGCGGAAGAAUAAGUCUGAUGUGAAAGCCCUCGGCUUAACCGAGGAAUUGCAUCGGAAACUGUUUUUCUUGAGUGCAGAAGAGGAGAGUAGAACUCCAUGUGUAGCGGUGGAAUGCGUAGAUAUAUGGAAGAAUACCAGUGGCGAAGGCGGCUCUCUGGUCUGCAACUGACGCUGAGCUCGAAAGCAUGGGUAGCGAACAGGAUUAGAUACCCUGGUAGUCCAUGCCGUAAAACGAUGAGUGCUAAGUGUUGGGAGGCUUCCGCCUCUCAGUGCUGCAGCUAACGCAUUAAGCACUCCGCCUGGGGGAGUACGACCGC
Molecule: ribosomal RNA, 545 nt
Filed under: uncultured bacterium
Lineage: Bacteria
Description: partial 16S ribosomal RNA
Rfam family: Bacterial small subunit ribosomal RNA
Source: RNAcentral